RNAcentral lists this ribosomal RNA (253 nucleotides) under uncultured bacterium. Its description in RNAcentral is "partial 16S ribosomal RNA". It matches the Rfam family "Bacterial small subunit ribosomal RNA", at positions 524 to 776 of the family's 1533-position model. The record is from RNAcentral.
UACGGAGGGUGCAAGCGUUAUCCGGAUUUACUGGGCGUAAAGAGCGCGCAGGCGGUCGUUCAAGUCGAGUGUGAAAGCCCCCGGCUCAACUGGGGAGGGUCACUCGAUACUGAUCGACUCGAAGGCAGGAGAGGGAAGUGGAAUUCCCGGUGUAGUGGUGAAAUGCGUAGAUAUCGGGAGGAACACCAGUGGCGAAGGCGACUUCCUGGCCUGUUCUUGACGCUGAGGCGCGAAAGCUAGGGGAGCAAACGGG